RNAcentral lists this unclassified non-coding RNA (2491 nucleotides) under Sitophilus oryzae (rice weevil). RNAcentral describes it as "peroxisomal acyl-coenzyme A oxidase 3-like, transcript variant X1". Lineage: Eukaryota; Metazoa; Arthropoda; Insecta; Coleoptera; Curculionidae. The record is from RNAcentral.
CUGAGAAUUUUGCUGUGGAACGCGCACAAAUGAUGAUACAAAAACUUUUUUUAUCAUGCCUUUAAAAUUUAACUUUCUACCAUCCAAUUUUAUAUUUAUUAUUUUACGAUUUUAACUUUAACCCUUUUAAAAUUUACCCGAAUUACGCAGUUUAAACAAGAAUCACCGAUUGUAUAUAAUUUUAUUUUUUCCGCAAUAUCAUCAACUCUGUAUAACGGGAAAGCGUUAAUAGCGCAAAAGAUUAAAGUUCAUUAGCUUCUAGCUUUCUAAAAAUAUUAAAUGUACAAAACACUUUAGACCAAGUACCUAUAUACUAAUCUGAGUUUAAUACAGUAUAUCUACUGUAAAUUUAAAGGAUAAUAAUUUUAUCAAGAUGACUGAUUUAUUAAAAGAUUUUAAAAGUGGGCCUUUGGAUGUUUAUAGAAAAAAAGCAUCAUUUGAUUGGAAAAAAUUGAAGAUAUUCCUGGAUACUGAAGAAGGUGUAAAAUAUGAAAUCGAAUUUUAUAAUGAACUUGAAAAAUACAAGGAAUUCAAAAAUCAUGAUAGUAUACAUGGUAUUUCGUUUGAUGAAGAAAGAAGAUUAGCAUUACAUCAGUGUUUUGCGUAUAAAUCAAUUAGAUUGCAUUCGCUGGAAUAUCAACUUGGAAAUUUAAUUUUUCCUUCGAUUUCUAAUAGAAUCGCCACACAAUUUCUUCCUUCCGCAGCAAUAAAAUAUAAUGUUUCGAUAACUUUAUUUGUCAAUGCUAUUCGUUCCUUAGGCACUGAAAGACAUUACCACUUUUUAGAUGACGUAGAAAUGGGAAAUAUUACAGGCUGUUAUUGUUUGACUGAAAUAGGUCAUGGGAGCAAUGCAAAGGGCAUGAGAACCACUGCAUCAUAUAACAAAGAAAAGAAAGUUUUUAUUCUACACUCUGAGAAUUUUGAAGCAGCAAAAUGUUGGGCUGGUGGUUUGGGCCAAACAGCAAGCCAUGCUUUGGUUUAUGCGCAAUUGAUAACCGGUGAAAGAAAAUAUGGACUACAUUGUUUUGUAGUUCCUAUCAGAGAUCCCAAAUCUUUACUGCCAUUUCCUGGUAUAAUUGUUGGGGAUAUGGGUGAAAAAAUAGGUCUUAAUGGUGUUGACAACGGGUUCUUACUAUUUAAUAAUUAUGAAAUACCUCGAGAGAAUUUACUAAACAAAUUAGGUGAUGUAAGUGAAGAUGGACAAUACAUUACUCCCUAUAAGGAUCCUAAUAAAAGACAUGGGGCUGCUUUAGGAAGUCUUUCUGGGGGUAGAGUAUACAUUACUGGGAUGUGUGAGGCUUAUACUACUCACGCAUUAACUAUUGCUAUCAGAUAUGCUGGUAUACGUAAGCAGUUUGGUCCUAAUGAACUUACCGAAGUGCCGCUAUUAGAAUAUCAAACGCACCAAUAUAGGCUACUACCGUAUCUAGCAGCUGCUUAUAUUCUUAGAAUAUUUUCUCCAUGGUUGAUUACAGUUUUGUACCAGUUUUCCAUAGAUGCGAUUAUGGGUAAUGAUAAAGAAUUACAGGCUCAACAAGGCUUAGAGCUACAUGCUGUAUCAUCAGCUUCGAAGCCUGUCGCUGGUUGGAUUGCAAAACAAGCAAUUCAGGAAUGCAGAGAGGCUUGUGGUGGACAUGGUUACUUAAAAGCUUCCAGGAUUGGAGAUAUUAGGAAUAAUAAUGAUGCUAACUUAACAUAUGAAGGAGAAAAUCAUAUUUUAAUUCAACAAACCAGUAACUGGCUACUGAAAUUCUGGCCAUUAAUAUUAAAUAAAAAGGAAAUUUCUUCUCCUCUAAAAUCUGUAAAUUUCCUAGGCGAUAGUUUGAAUAUAUUACAAAAAAAUAAAUUUUCUGCCACAUGUAUUGAAGAAAUGCGUUCACCAGAUAACAUUAUAUCCACUUACCAAUGGUUGGUUGCUUAUUUAUUAAGAAAAACCCAUACAAAUUUGGAAAACAGCAUGAAAAGUAAGGAUGUAUUUUGGGCCAAAAACGAGAAUCAAGUAUUCAAUGCGAAGAAUUUGUCGGUCGCUUUUAUAGAGCAUUUUAUGUUGCAAGUUACCCUAAGUAAAAUAAAAGAGGCUUCAGAAGAAUCUGUUAAAAACGUUCUCUUAAAAUUGUUUUCUCUUUUUGGACUUUGGUCGCUGGAGAAACAUGUUGCUUCCCUAUACGCAGGUGAAUAUGUAUCAGGUCCACAAUUUGUAACUCUGCUUGAAAAUUCAAUACUGAGACUGUGCUCAGAUCUUAAGGAUGAAGCUAUUUAUUGAUCGAUGUAAUUGCGCCACCCAUUUUGUUAUAAAUUCGGUUUUGGGUGCGUCUGAUGGUGAGGUCUACAAACAUCUGCAGUCCGCCUUAUUCAGCUCUCCUUAUGCGAUGAGUAGACCAAGCUGGUGGCAAGAAAUAAUAUCUUUGCGCGAAAAUACUGUGCAAUCCAAGCUUUAAAAUAUUGUUUUACAUAUAUGGGAUUUUAUAAGCAAUAUAUUUUAUUUUUGAUA